CUUUACAGUAAACAGUUCCCAGUUUCCAGUUUCACCUGCACUUUGAGGUCACACAGCCAUCUUCCUCCCCACCAACAUGUAUCAGAAUGAAGGGACAGAAGAAAAGAGACAGAGAUCCAGACUGAGGAUUGGUGGAGAGCCAGAAGCUCAGUUACCCGGACAAGAAAUGAAAAGCAGACUUCAUUGUUUCUUACUCUCUGGUGGGAGGAGAGGUGGAAAGAAGAAAUAAGGAAAGACCAAGGGUUGGAGAAGAAAAGAAAGCUGGAACAAUUUAAUCCAGAUAAAAUCUGAAAUGUCCAAGUAA
Panthera uncia (snow leopard) is the source of this 304-nucleotide long non-coding RNA. RefSeq lists it as uncharacterized. NCBI's taxonomy places the organism in Eukaryota, Metazoa, Chordata, Mammalia, Carnivora, Felidae. The transcript has 2 exons. The record is from RefSeq and is a predicted model, not a curated record.